GCUCGAGUCAAGCUUGAGCCUUAAAAAAAUGUAAUGAGUCGAGCUUGAACUAUUCAAAAGCUCGGCUCAGUUUGUUCACCCUUAAUGAUAGCACUUGUUAAAUUUAAGGUGUUAACGAACGUGUCCAUGGUUCAGACUGCAAGCCUUAGCCCUCUUUUAUGUAUUAUAGGGCAUGUUAUAAAUGCACAUCUUGGGUGAUUGGUCAAGUCUCCAUGUACCUAUCAAUCAUUGUGCUUCAACUUUUUAACUAUUAUUGAUGCAUUUUUUUCCCUACAUAUGUUUGUUUUAUGUUGCAUUUGAGUCCAGUGCCAAUAAAAUUAUGGGUUCUGUUUUCUUUUUAGCAAGCCGACUUCUGUCCUGGCAACUAGCAAGUUUGAGUUUUAAUUAACACAUUUUUUGUUUAACUAUUGGACUCUUGAUUCCUUCCUGGUACUGUAUUUGACCUUUCUGAGGUCAAGACGUAAGUCACAUCUUUCUUGAGAAUUAAGAUUGAUCACAUUUAGUUUGCAUCAAAGCUUAUUCCUUCCGGUUGAGUUCAGCAUUUUUUUGAGCAUAGUUGAUUUUGGUGUCUUGCUGAGUUCUAUAUAGUGGACCUGCAAGGGUGUAAAAACUUUUGAGGAAGUAAUCUCUAAUUUCCAUGAUUAUUUUUGAAAUUCUCUUUUAGAAACCAUAGGGUUCCUUAAAUCACAGGUAUAUGCAGAGAGUCUUGUGAUGGUAAGAUGGCUUCAUGCUUCAACGGGUUAUAAGAACUUCCCCUUAGAUGGUUGUUUACUUUAAGUGCUGUUGCUAAUAUUUAUUUAUUCAUUCAUUCUUGUGGAACAAUGUAAUAUUCAUAAUUAGAUAGUACUCAAAAUUGACAUCUGUAAGUGGUGACUGGUGAAGCCACAGUUGGUCGAUUAAUAUCUUAGUUUUGUUUGCUAAACUGGUUUUGCAGUGCUAAAAGAGGAGUGCAUCG
Molecule: unclassified non-coding RNA, 955 nt
Filed under: Hevea brasiliensis (rubber tree)
Lineage: Eukaryota; Viridiplantae; Streptophyta; Magnoliopsida; Malpighiales; Euphorbiaceae
Source: RNAcentral